GUCUGCAACCCGACUACAUGAAGCUGGAAUCGCUAGUAAUCGCAGGUCAGCAUACUGCGGUGAAUACGUUCCCGGGUCUUGUACACACCGCCCGUCACACCAUGGGAGCCGGAAAUGCCCGAAGUCAGUGACCUAACCGAAAGGGAGGAGCUGCCGAAGGUGGAGCCGGUAACUGGGGUGAAGUCGUAACAAGGUACC
This 198-nucleotide ribosomal RNA is filed under the name uncultured bacterium. RNAcentral describes it as "partial 16S ribosomal RNA". It matches the Rfam family "Bacterial small subunit ribosomal RNA", at positions 1303 to 1500 of the family's 1533-position model. The record is from RNAcentral.